UCAGCCGCCAUUUUGUUCGGCUCUGGGUCACUCGAGUCACUGACUCAAAAGUAUCCCUGAAGAUAACCAGUGUUGUCUGUUCUCCUUUGUUUUAUCACGUCAUCAAGUCAUAGUUUGAUUAUUCUGCUGAUUUUUAAUUGCUGAAGUUCUUAAAUUAAGACCAAAGUGGGAAUAGAACUGCAGAUACAUAUUAUACUAAAAUCCACCAUGACAGACGAAUAUGAUGCUAACUAGUUGGAUUAGAUUUGAAAAAAAAUUCUUCUCCUUUCUACAUCUGAUUAAACCCAUUUUCAGCAAAGGUGGGAAUAGAACUGCAGACACAUAUACUAAAAUCCACCAUGACAGACGAAUAUGCUGCCAAACUACAGUUGGAUUGGAUUUAAAACUCCUUUCUACAUCUGAUGGAAACCAUUUUUAGACCAAGAGCAGAGAAACUACGCCUCAUGAAGCUCAAAUUGAGGACGAUAGCAGUUCAAAGUAAAAAUAUAUAAUUGGUUAUAAAUUGAAAGUUAAAUUUUUGUAAUAUUUAAUAAAAAUCAUUGCAUUUUAUUGAAAAUAAUGUUUUCUUAUUUACAUUUUUUGCUCAUAUAGAUAUACUCUGAAGUUAAGCUUCAAAGAAAAUAAACUAAUAUAGAUAUUAAUAUAUAAUAUUUAAUAUUUUAAUAGAUAUUCAAAGUAAUAAUUGAUGUGUUACUCAGAUGUAUAUGAACUGUAUUCCAUUUGAGGUGUUGCAAGCAUAGAGGGCUGUUUGAACUAGAGCAGAUUUGAUUUAAUUAAUUCAUGGAAUGGCGAGUGACUCAUGCACUGCUCCCUCUCAGGACAGUCUG
Molecule: long non-coding RNA, 827 nt
Organism: Nilaparvata lugens (brown planthopper)
Lineage: Eukaryota; Metazoa; Arthropoda; Insecta; Hemiptera; Delphacidae
Exons: 4
Source: RefSeq, a predicted model, not a curated record